UCCCAUAACAUUAAGGAUUAUAUAAACUGGAUUGAACAACUGACCCAUUGCAGCCCCGUUGACGAGAAUUGAACUUAUAAGGAUGAACCUAUCAAUACCAAGUUUUUGACAUGCAUCCACAAGGUUCACUGUGCCAAAAUUAUCAACCUGAAAAGAGUAAAACAAUGAUAGGAUACAUUAGCUGACUUUCACCACAUUUAAAAUCAAAGAAAAACACGACUACUACAACUGAGAUGAAAAGUUAUAGGACAUCUGCAUGUGAACAUAGAUAACGCUAAUGGAGGAUAUCUAACGCUUUGCUAAUUCAGUGACAUAAGAUAUGAAAAUGAAAACAAUAACACCCACUCUCAAUCCCAAGAAAGUUGGGGGAGAUUAGGCACCAUAACAUCUUCUAGUCUCAACUCAGCUUCACUCUUAUGCAUAAUACAUGAAAAUGAGUACCACCAAUUCUGACAACAAAGAUCCAAAAAGAAGAAAGAUGAGUGGGGCCGAAUUAUUGGAGUACCUAGGUAAUUGGGAACAGAAGUUGAGGUGUCAGCGAAUGAGAAUUGAAAGCUGAAAUGCGGCGAGUCGUUAUCUUUUGGAGCAUUACACGGAAUAGAAUUGCCAAACACUGUAUUUGUUUCUUCAAAUAAAGCUUCUAAAUCUUGUUGGGGGGGGGGGGGUCUUUUGGAGCAUUUCUUUGGAUCCAAAUGUCAAGUACUGUAUAUGUUUCUUCAUUUAACGUGCUAGAUCCCAAGUGAAAGAUAAAGAGUAUAGAGCUUAAGAGCUGAUACAGUAAUCUUCGCUUCAACUUAACUCCAGAAUGAAGCUCUAGAUUGAAAGUUCCAAAGGUUGGUUUGUCAACUCCACUAACUUUUAGCUAUUUGAGACAUACAAUACGCUUUUACAAAACCUCAAAUACACGACUCCUGGCACCAACCUUCCAAGGUGUCAACAAGUUCAAUGAAGGCUGGAAGCCUGUAGCACAUAUUACAGCAUCUGAAUCACCACCAAUAGCAUCAGCAAGUUUAGCUGAUCCCUC
Molecule: long non-coding RNA, 1024 nt
Filed under: Nicotiana tabacum (common tobacco)
Lineage: Eukaryota; Viridiplantae; Streptophyta; Magnoliopsida; Solanales; Solanaceae
Description: long non-coding RNA (NTAB_LNC013111)
Source: RNAcentral